This is a long non-coding RNA of Atta colombica, 2642 nucleotides long. RefSeq lists it as uncharacterized. The record is from RefSeq and is a predicted model, not a curated record. NCBI's taxonomy places the organism in Eukaryota, Metazoa, Arthropoda, Insecta, Hymenoptera, Formicidae. The transcript is spliced from 2 exons.
CCCGCGGCCGCGAACAACCACCACUAUCGUCAUCCCCAAUAUCGCUACUACCGUCAACAGUAGCACCAGCAACAACAAAAACAACGAUAUCAACAACGUUGGCGAGAGAAGGAUCCUCUCAGGUGACGGCGACAACAGCAUCGUUAUAGGUAGUAGCUACAAAAAUCCCGUGACGGGCAACAACAAAAACAUCAGGAAUAGCAGCGGUGUUACUUGCGCACGACGACGACGACGACGUUGUUGUUAUUGUUGUUGUUGCCGUGCCGUCUUGUCGACUGCGGCAUUGUCUCGGCACGACGCCGCUGCCGGUGACGGCUGAUCUCGGGCGGUGGUGGAGAGGAAGUAGAGGUAGAGAGAGGAAGGUCAUCGCGCUCGUGUGACGGCGGCGACAACGACAACGGCAACGGCGACGGCGGCGGCGGCGACAGGAAUAGCGGCGACCGCCCAGCUCACGCGCUGUCGUUGGCGACAGCAGCGUCGGCGGCUGCGUUCUGUUAUUAUUUUGCCGCGGUGCUUUUGACCCUUCGGUACCGGGCGAGUUCAUUGCGGCGCUGUCGCGGGGGUGUCAGCCGGUAGUACGUCCGCACCGCGCACUCCACCGCAUAUUCUCCUUCUCCUCCUCCUCCUUUUCCGUCCGUCUGGCGGCAGCAGCGCCGGAGUCGACGGAACGGCCGCCUCGUGAUCGUCAGGCGCGAGGAUCGUCGACGGGGCGCGUCCCUAAGGCGCCCGUCGUCCCGUCGGUCCCGUCGCGGGCUCCCGGGGACCCCGGGUUCCUUCGAACAGAGUGCAAAGGAGAGUGCAGGACAUCGUCGACGAGGGAAAGACGAUACCACGUGAUAGUCCUCGAGAACGAACGAACGGCCAAGUGUAGAGUCAGUUAGUACUGUCAGUAGUCCGCGAGACGUCACGCGGUUACGCCGCGAUCUCGUCAUAACCUGAAAGAAUCUGAAACUGCCUGAAAGAACCUGAAGGAACCGGAAAUCGAGGGUGCUCCAUCUGUUUCGUCUCCCUUGUUUCUUCUCUUUCUCGCGCGCGCCAACGAAAACAAACCCGGGCCUUACGAGCGCGGGAUUAAUAUACCACCUCGCCACCUGAUCCGGUGGCGCGCUCGCGUCCCUCUUUCGGAGUACGGGACUGUCAACCGUUUCGUUCUAACUUCUGACGGAGCGUGGAGGAGCGACAGCAGGAGAAAGGUGUUCCACGCACACGGGAACGGGAAUCUCAGUGAAGAGACCCUUCGGCGCACUUCGGCAAAACGGCCGAGCGGUGGAGCGGAGUGUCCACGUGUGUGAGUCACAGUCAUCGACAGAUCGUCAAAUCACCGGUAUAUCGACAUUAUCAACGCUAUUAUCGUCGCGCACGUUACGCCCAGCCGCGCGACGAAUCGUCGCCUCGCGAAUCCGUUUCUUUGCGUCCUCCGAUCGACUUUGAAGAAUAGAGAGGGAAAGAGAGAGAGAGAGAAAGAGAAACGCGCCGGCGGAUACCAACAGUAAAGUUUCACGGCCGCGACCCGAUUGCGAUCGGCGAAAGGAAAGGCGCAAGCGAAGGCACGAGCGAAGAAUACAAUUCCGCGCGCGCGCUCGCGCUCGUCGUGUCCCCCGUGUGUGUGUGUGUGUGUGUGUGUGUGUGUGUGUGUUGCGUGGCGUGCGUGCGUGUGUUUGUUUCUGUGCGUGCGCGAAGCCGCGUCGUCAUCCGGCACGUUCCGGGGCCGAGGGAAGUGGUGCCCCGCGCUGCUCAUUAUGCUCGCGGUGACAGCUCGACGAUAAGCUCGACACCGACAGUGGGUUUUCCCCCUUCCUUCCCCCUUCUCCCAUCCCGUUUCCCUCGAAGGUGCGCUGCUAGUUUCGCGAGUGCUCGCGCUGUUUCGCGCGCGAAGAGGAAGUACACCGUAACAUCGAGUAUCCAAGUUUUCAUCUCUCUUGCCCUCCCCCUUCCCCCCCUCCUCCCCCGCUCCGUCCUCUCCCACUAUUACCGCUGUCACCGACAUUAUUACACCUCGUCGCCCUCCUCCAUCUCACCCCCCCCCUCACCUGUGAAACCUAACUCCAUUGGUGAAGUGCGCGACUAUUGAAAUCAGUGAAAACGUACCGUGGUGUCUCCCCCGCGUAUUAUAACGCCAUACAUAAAUCUACAUACGUAUGUAUACGCGCAUGUACAUCUGUAUCGUCCAGUGUGUUCGAUAAGUGCGAAUUUUUCUUACUUUCUCGACCGGAUUUCUACCUGCCUUGUGUGUCCCCUCAACCUCUACCCAUUUCUCUCGUCUAUCAUUCACGGCGUCGCCGGCUUGUUUUUUUUCAAGUGAAUCGCCGCACAAAGAGAGGCCACACGAGUGUGACAGAAUAAAGGAGGACGUAUUUCAGCUUGCGUGAGGAGCGUCGAAGGUAUCGUCGUCGUAUUGGCCCGCCACCGGUGAAGCAUGGAGGCUGACGGUGACGCGAAGUAAGCGGGCCUUCUCAUUCUCCCCCCUCCCUCCCUUUCGAAAUACGCACCUGCUGACAGACAGAAAACGAAGGCUGAACCCUCUUACUAUACAUAUAUUUAGAAAAAAGAAAAAAAAACCGUAACGAAUCACCGCCAAAAGCUAAUAGAAUUUUAGUCAAAACGUGAGAGAGAGAGAGAGAGAGAGAGAGAGAGAGAGAGAG